RNAcentral lists this transfer RNA (74 nucleotides) under Schistocerca americana (American grasshopper). RNAcentral's name for it is "tRNA-Met". It matches the Rfam family "tRNA". From Rfam's summary of the family: Transfer RNA (tRNA) molecules are approximately 80 nucleotides in length. The record is from RNAcentral. Lineage: Eukaryota; Metazoa; Arthropoda; Insecta; Orthoptera; Acrididae.
UGCUCGGUAGCGCAGUGGGCAGCGCGUAAGUCUCAUAAUCUUAAGGUCGUGAGUUCGAUCCUCACCUGGGGCAU